UUGCUUCAAUAGCAUAUGUACUAAAAUUGGAAUGAAACAAACAAUUAGCAUAGCCCCUGUACAAGGACAGCAUGCAAUAAGUGAAGUGUUCUAUAUUUUU
RNAcentral lists this small nuclear RNA (100 nucleotides) under Phascolarctos cinereus (koala). Lineage: Eukaryota; Metazoa; Chordata; Mammalia; Diprotodontia; Phascolarctidae. The record is from RNAcentral.